RNAcentral lists this ribosomal RNA (301 nucleotides) under uncultured bacterium. Its description in RNAcentral is "partial 16S ribosomal RNA". It matches the Rfam family "Bacterial small subunit ribosomal RNA", at positions 509 to 807 of the family's 1533-position model. The record is from RNAcentral.
CAGUCGCCGCGGUAAUACGAGGGGGGCAAGCGUUGUUCGGAAUUAUUGGGCGUAAAGGGUGCGUAGGCGGUUUGGCAAGUUCGGUGUGAAAUCUUCGGGCUCAACUCGAAGUCUGCAUCGAAAACUGCCGGGCUUGAGUAUGGGAGAGGUGAGUGGAAUUUCCGGUGUAGCGGUGAAAUGCGUAGAUAUCGGAAGGAACACCUGUGGCGAAAGCGGCUCACUGGACCAUAACUGACGCUGAUGCACGAAAGCUAGGGGAGCAAACAGGAUUAGAUACCCCAGUAGUCCCUGUCUCUUAUAC